AGAGUUUGAUCAUGGCUCAGAUUGAACGCUGGCGGCAGGCCUAACACAUGCAAGUCGAGCGGUAGCACGGGGAGCUUGCUCCUGGGUGACGAGCGGCGGACGGGUGAGUAAUGUCUGGGAAACUGCCUGAUGGAGGGGGAUAACUACUGGAAACGGUAGCUAAUACCGCAUAACGUCGCAAGACCAAAGAGGGGGACCUUCGGGCCUCUUGCCAUCAGAUGUGCCCAGAUGGGAUUAGCUAGUAGGUGGGGUAAUGGCUCACCUAGGCGACGAUCCCUAGCUGGUCUGAGAGGAUGACCAGCCACACUGGAACUGAGACACGGUCCAGACUCCUACGGGAGGCAGCAGUGGGGAAUAUUGCACAAUGGGCGCAAGCCUGAUGCAGCCAUGCCGCGUGUAUGAAGAAGGCCUUCGGGUUGUAAAGUACUUUCAGCGAGGAGGAAGGCGGUGAGGUUAAUAACCUCAUCGAUUGACGUUACUCGCAGAAGAAGCACCGGCUAACUCCGUGCCAGCAGCCGCGGUAAUACGGAGGGUGCAAGCGUUAAUCGGAAUUACUGGGCGUAAAGCGCACGCAGGCGGUCUGUCAAGUCGGAUGUGAAAUCCCCGGGCUCAACCUGGGAACUGCAUUCGAAACUGGCAGGCUAGAGUCUUGUAGAGGGGGGUAGAAUUCCAGGUGUAGCGGUGAAAUGCGUAGAGAUCUGGAGGAAUACCGGUGGCGAAAGCGGCCCCCUGGACAAAGACUGACGCUCAGUGCGAAAGCGUGGGGAGCAAACAGAUUAGAUACCCUGGUAGUCCACGCCGUAAACGAUGUCGACUUGGAGGUUGUUCCCUUGAGGAGUGGCUUCCCGGAGCUAACGCGUUAAGUCGACCGCCUGGGGGAG
This 881-nucleotide ribosomal RNA is filed under the name uncultured bacterium. RNAcentral describes it as "bacterial SSU rRNA". It matches the Rfam family "Bacterial small subunit ribosomal RNA", at positions 9 to 873 of the family's 1533-position model. The record is from RNAcentral.